UGAGGAGGAAACAAAAUGAACGAAGUUCAUUUUCUAUAAAUGUUUCCGACGAAUUGCCAACCACCGAAGGUAGGAGGCGUUACAUAU
This 87-nucleotide small RNA is filed under the name uncultured Eubacterium sp. Its description in RNAcentral is "GA-cis RNA". It matches the Rfam family "GA-cis RNA". The record is from RNAcentral. Lineage: Bacteria; Bacillati; Bacillota; Clostridia; Eubacteriales; Eubacteriaceae.